This 404-nucleotide ribosomal RNA is filed under the name Actinomycetes bacterium. Its description in RNAcentral is "Actinobacteria bacterium partial 16S ribosomal RNA". It matches the Rfam family "Bacterial small subunit ribosomal RNA", at positions 355 to 776 of the family's 1533-position model. The record is from RNAcentral. Lineage: Bacteria; Bacillati; Actinomycetota; Actinomycetes.
UGGGGAAUAUUGGACAAUGGGCGCAAGCCUGACCCAGCCAUGCCGCGUGAGUGAUGAAGGCCCUAGGGUUGUAAAGCUCUUUCACCGGUGAAGAUAAUGACGGUAACCGGAGAAGAAGCCCCGGCUAACUUCGUGCCAGCAGCCGCGGUAAUACGAAGGGGGCUAGCGUUGUUCGGAUUUACUGGGCGUAAAGCGCACGUAGGCGGACUAUUAAGUCAGGGGUGAAAUCCCGGGGCUCAACCCCGGAACUGCCUUUGAUACUGGUAGUCUUGAGUUCGAGAGAGGGGAGUGGAAUUCCGAGUGUAGAGGUGAAAUUCGUAGAUAUUCGGGGGAACACCAGUGGCGAAGGCGGCUCACUGGCUCGAUACUGACGCUGAGGUGCGAAAGCGUGGGGAGCAAACAGG